RNAcentral lists this microRNA (25 nucleotides) under Sus scrofa (pig). Its description in RNAcentral is "piRNA piR-ssc-1308739". The record is from RNAcentral. Lineage: Eukaryota; Metazoa; Chordata; Mammalia; Artiodactyla; Suidae. RNAcentral also lists the same sequence under 2 other names.
UUUGGCAAUGGUAGAACUCACACCG